AACGGUCUAUACCUGCGGUACCUGCGGAAGGAUCAUUACCGAGUUUUCAACUCCCAAACCCCAUGUGAACUUAUACCAUUUGCACCGUUGCUUCGGCGGGUUCUCGCCCCGGGCUUUACAACCCCGGAACCAGGCGGCCCGCCGGGGGACCCAAACUCUAGAUUUUAUUUUAGCAUGUCUGAGUGGAAUCAUUACAAAAUGAAUCAAAACUUUCAGCAACGGAUCUCUAGAUCGGAAGAG
Molecule: unclassified non-coding RNA, 240 nt
Filed under: soil metagenome
Description: partial contains 5.8S ribosomal RNA, internal transcribed spacer 2, and large subunit ribosomal RNA
Source: RNAcentral